UUAAAUUGUAAAAAUGAUCCAUUUUUUUAAAAAGUGAGGGGGUAUGAAUUAUUUUUGAAGCAAACGUCAUUCUAAAUGACAGUCUCAAAGACACUGUAGUCAUAUUUUACUCUAUUAGCUUCUUUUUGUGAAUUGAUGUUUUUGAUAAUAUUUCAGAAGACACUCAACAAAUUUCAAUUCACCAAGGACUAAUUCACCAAUUGUGGGGCUUAACCAAAAAUAUCUAGUAGUAUUUAAGAAUGAAGGGACACGCAUCCAUCUUUUUUAUUCCAAAAAAUUAUCAUUUAUUCCUCUGUAUCAAUUUGCCAGGACAACUGAAGAUGACGCAAAACACCUCAUUCUCAACUGCCCUGCAAAUUUUACUAGUGCCUCCUGGUUUUCUCUGUACCGCAGUUGUCGUAGUCCUUUGACACAGCAGAUCCUGAAAGCUCCACAAGCAGCCACAAGCUACUCCACUGACGGAUGAUUAAUUAUAUUUAAUGAUCAGACAGACGUGACGGCUCAUAUUCAUGUGUAUGAAGUGUGACGUUACUCUCAUUAUUUACGGAGGUAAUGCAGUUGCGCGAACGUUAAACUGGUGUUUCUAUCAUAAUGUAGCAUGUUAGCUGACAGGCUAGUAGCAAUGCCAUGCUAUGUUAUGAUGCAGAUGGAAUUAAGGUGGGUAUGUUCCAGUAACGCUACCGUUGUGAUUCUGUGUGAUCGAUUAUCAGACCACAAUAAACAUGUUUGCUUUAACAAUGGUUUUAAACAGCCUGAUAUGUAAUGCAGUUGUUAGACAGGCUUGGAUUUCAGUGCAUUUUCACUAUGCUUCUUGCUGAACAACACCAAUCUACAAGGAGACAAAUGUACAGUGUUGCUGCAGAUCGGUGACAGAAAGCUUGGUCUGAGAAAUCGUGAUCGUUUAUUUAGUUCACAGCAUUCAUUUUCAACUGUCAGCUGAGACCUGCACUGCUCUGACUCUGCUUCGCUUCACCCACGCUUUGGGUUACAUAUGGGCAGAGCAGCUGGAAACUAGCUUCAGGAUUCCAAGAAGAAAACCAGAAAAAACAGCUGGGACAGAACGGUGGAAUGAGCACCAAGUAAUAUCAGCCAGUCACAUAUCGUCAAAGAGACUCUUGGAUGGAACAACCGUAUUGUUUUUCUGACCACUAACAGCAGAUGAAGAAAAGAAAAGGGUUUUGACUAAAUGAGGAUUUUUUCUGGCUUUCUAACAACUGUCUGCUUUGAUCCAAAAUAAAAUAGUGCUGAAC
Betta splendens (Siamese fighting fish) is the source of this 1250-nucleotide long non-coding RNA. RefSeq lists it as uncharacterized. Lineage: Eukaryota; Metazoa; Chordata; Actinopteri; Anabantiformes; Osphronemidae. The transcript has 3 exons. The record is from RefSeq and is a predicted model, not a curated record.